UAAAUUAUAUAAAAUUUUUUGUUAAAAUUUGAUUUUUUCACCUUUUUUUUUUCCUGUCAUUUAAAAAUUUACACUUUGCCUCAUUAUAAAAUAAAAAAUAUUCACAAAGGAUACGGUGUAUACUGUAAUGAUAAAAUAACCAUUUUGUCCUCACCAUUUUCAUCUCCUCUCUCACCUUUCUCAACAGUAGCCUCGAUCGACCGCGAUUCACGCCUCAAUCGGCUGCGGUUUCUUUUCAUCUUUUUCUCCACCUACUCCCCUUUCCUCCUGCACCCUCGCCGCCCCUCGAUUUCGGCGACAGUAAGAUGGAAAUCAAUGUGGGGGUGGAUGGAGAGGUGGGUAAUGACAACGAGGGCGAAGGCGAGGCGGCGGAGGAGGGCGAAGGGUGUUUGUAGGCGCGGACAGGGAUGUGGGCGAUGGCGAGGCGGCGAGGCGGAGGAAGGUGAAGCAACAGGGAAGAGGGUGGAGGGGUAUUUUUGGUAUAAAAAAAUCUUUUAUAACGGAAUCCUAACGGAUUAUUAACGGUAGGAGGCAAAGUGCACAUUUUUUAUUUUACAAGGAGGCAAAGUGUAGGUUUUUAAAUGACAGGAGGAAAAAGUGAAAAAUCACAUUUUGACAUGAAGGUUUUCUGUAAUUUAGCCUUAUAUAAAUAAAGGGUUAAUUGCAUACAAAUCCUCGCAAACAUAAUCAGUUAUAAAUAUAUCUUUGCAAAAUUCAACUUUUAUAAGUUAUUCCUACAAAAGUCGUAAUGUUUUUAGAUAUAUUCAUCUGAUUUGUUAACAUUAGAGAACUGUUAGAAAACUGUUUAUAUUUUUAAUUUUGUACUCACAAAUAUGUCAUUUCAAAAGCUAUAAUAGUAUAAUAUAAGAGGAAUAAAAAUGUCAAAAAUAAUCACAAUAAAGUAUUUAACUUAUAGUUAACUAAACUUUUCUAACGAAUUCUAACGGAAUGGACAUAUGUAAAAAUAUUAGGACUUUUACAGGAAUAAUUUAAAAGAUAAUGGCUGAUCAUUAUUUUGCACAUAACAUUAUCGUCUUUCUUAGAGCUUGAUUCAUACAAAUUAACUAUAACACUACCUCAAUACAAUAUCAUCUUUCUAUUAUCGUGGUAACUUUUACGUUUUAGCGCCACAUAUACUGUAAUAUUUUACAGAGAUGAUAC
RNAcentral lists this long non-coding RNA (1161 nucleotides) under Ananas comosus (pineapple). Its description in RNAcentral is "long non-coding RNA (ACOM_LNC016144)". Lineage: Eukaryota; Viridiplantae; Streptophyta; Magnoliopsida; Poales; Bromeliaceae. The record is from RNAcentral.